UAAUUUUGCACUCGCAAUGGUUCACUUAAGCAUUUCGCAUUAAGUGAUGAAAAGGGAAUCAGGUGAAAGUCCUGAACAGACCCGCUGCUGUAAGCUCUUUCUUUAAUUGAAAAUAUAAAAAUAUCAAUUAAAGUGAACGUAUUAAACAACACUUUUGCCACUGUUUUUCCGACAGCGGACAAUUGAUUAAGGAUACUGAAUUUUUCAUUGUCAAUUAUCAAUUGUCAACAGUCAAUUAUCAACGGGAAGGCGUUUAAUCACGAGAGUAAGUCAGAAGACCUGCCAUUAAAAUAUUCUUUUU
RNAcentral lists this non-coding RNA (301 nucleotides) under Bacteroidales bacterium. The record is from RNAcentral. Lineage: Bacteria; Pseudomonadati; Bacteroidota; Bacteroidia; Bacteroidales.